AUUCAAUCUAAGAGUUGAGCUCAAGAAUAAUGUCUUCUGACUUUUGUUUCUAUGAUGAUAGCUCUUUCUACCACCAUUCCUGGCCAGAAAUGGUCUUCCCCGAUUGUGGCUUCUCUUUCUCCGAGCCAUUUUCUCCUUUCUUUGAUUCUUCGACUUAUAUGUUCCAAGAAUUAUCUAGCAACCAACACACUCAAAACCCCGUUCAUAAUUCCAACUCUUAUGACAAUUUUAACCCAAACAUCCUGUCAUCUUCCCCUCCAAGUCACAAACUGGAGAACUUGUCUCUUCAUCAGGCGACUUUGCAGCCAGUUGCAGAUGGUUCAAAUUUGGUAAAUGGGUACAGUAAUUUCUCUGCCAUGGAUGCUUUAGGAGUGAAAACUGAGGAAUAUCAAAUGGAUUUUGACUCCUCUUACAAUCACCAGUUAUUUAUGCCUCAUAGUUACAAUGGUGUGGAGAAUGUGGCAACGAUAAGCUAUAGCAGCAACUCUUUUGAAGAAAAACCUGAAUUUCCCUUUCAACCUCGCUUCAACACUCUUUUAGGGUCUCCCACUAAUUAUCAAAACCAACCCUUGAGCUCACCUGAAAACAACUUUCUUGCUGGUAAUUUGAGGAGGGUUUGCAGCACUGGAGACAUACAAAAUAUUAGGACAGCACAUACAGCACAGAGAUUCUUUUCAAGCCCUUUGGCAAAUGAAAACUCCUUUACGGAAGAAGCAAACUUCAAAUUGGUUCGUUACAGUGCUGAAGAGAGAAAAGAUAAGAUUUCCAAAUACAGAGCCAAGCGUAGCCAGAGAAAUUUCACCAAGACCAUUAAGUAUGCAUGCCGAAAGACGCUAGCAGACAAGAGGCUCCGUAUACGUGGCAGGUUCACACGCAACGAUGAGAGCGGUGAGAUUCCCAAAGGUGCAUGUUCUAACAGACAUGAAGCAGCAGAUGAGCUAUGGGUACCAUAAUUCUUUUUGUUCCUACAUUUCACAAUUCCUUUCUUCAAAGUUAUAAAUCUAAUCAUCAAAUUUUGGCUUCUUUAUGUUAUAAAAAUGCAGGUUGUAUUAUUAAACAUAUUCUUGUGUGUGUUCUUGCAGUUAAAUGGGAUUCAGGAAAAGGAAGAUGGUGGAAGAAUCAAAGAAGGAGAAGGAGGAGGAGGAGGAGGAG
This 1152-nucleotide unclassified non-coding RNA is filed under the name Hevea brasiliensis (rubber tree). Lineage: Eukaryota; Viridiplantae; Streptophyta; Magnoliopsida; Malpighiales; Euphorbiaceae. The record is from RNAcentral.